CGCGGUAAUUCCAGCUCCAAUAGCGUAUACUAAAGUGUUGCAGUUAAAAAGCUCGUAGUUGGAUUUCUGGCGGGGACGGCUGGUCGGUCUCGAAAGGGGCUGUACUGUUGUUGGUUCCCGUCAUCCUUGGGGAGAGCGGCUCUUACAUUAAGUUGUCGGCGUCGGGAUCCCUAUCUUUUACUGUGAAAAAAUUAGAGUGUUCAAAGCAGGCUUAGGCCCUGAAUACAUUAGCAUGGAAUAAUAAGAUACGACCUUGGUGGUCUAUUUUGUUGGUUUGCACGCCAAGGUAAUGAUUAAUAGGGAUAGUUGGGGGUAUUCGUAUUCAAUUGUCAGAGGUGUAAUUCUUGGAUUUAUGGAAGACGAACUACUGCGAAAGCAUUUACCAAGGAUGUUUUCAUUAAUCAAGAACGAAAGUUAGGGGAUCGAAGAUGAUUAGAUACCAUCGUAGUCUUAACCAUAAACUAUGCCGACUAGGGAUCGGUGGGUGCAUUUUUAGGCCUCAUCGGCACCUUAUGAGAAAUCAAAGUCUUUGGGUUCCGGGGGGAGUAUGGUCGCAAGGCUGAAACUUAAAGAAAUUGACGG
RNAcentral lists this ribosomal RNA (582 nucleotides) under uncultured Eustigmatophyceae. RNAcentral's name for it is "SSU rRNA". It matches the Rfam family "Eukaryotic small subunit ribosomal RNA", at positions 575 to 1159 of the family's 1831-position model. The record is from RNAcentral. Lineage: Eukaryota; Eustigmatophyceae.